AUUGAACGCUGGCGGCAUGCCUUACACAUGCAAGUCGAACGGCAGCACGGGUGCUUGCACCUGGUGGCGAGUGGCGAACGGGUGAGUAAUACAUCGGAACGUACCUUAUCGUGGGGGAUAACGCAGCGAAAGAUGUGCUAAUACCGCAUACGCCCUGAGGGGGAAAGCGGGGGAUCGAAAGACCACGCGCGAUUAGAGCGGCCGAUGCCUGAUUAGCUUGUUGGUGGGGUAAAAGCCCACCAAGGCGACGAUCAGUAGCUGGUCUGAGAGGACGAUCAGCCACACUGGGACUGAGACACGGCCCAGACUCCUACGGGAGGAAGCAGUGGGGAAUUUUGGACAAUGGGGGCAACCCUGAUCCAGCAAUGCCGCGUGAGUGAAGAAGGCCUUCGGGUUGUAAAGCUCUUUUGUCAGGGAAGAAACACCGGCUCUAACACAGUCCGGGAAUGACGGUACCUGAAGAAUAAGCACCGGCUAACUACGUGCCAGCAGCCGCCGUAA
This 501-nucleotide ribosomal RNA is filed under the name uncultured bacterium. Its description in RNAcentral is "partial 16S ribosomal RNA". It matches the Rfam family "Bacterial small subunit ribosomal RNA", at positions 29 to 523 of the family's 1533-position model. The record is from RNAcentral.